Molecule: transfer RNA, 51 nt
Filed under: Prymnesium parvum
Lineage: Eukaryota; Haptophyta; Prymnesiales; Prymnesiaceae
Description: partial tRNA
Source: RNAcentral
UUUAAAAAAUAUCUACAAUAUUAAACUUUUAAUCGAGAAUGCUAACAUACC